UGUGCGUUGUUUGAAUUUCUAGCAUCUGCAGAUUUUCUCUUGCUUGUGACACUAGUAGAAACGGCAGCUGUGAGAGGCGAGUCUGAACAACCAAAAGACUCAAUGACUAACCACAGCCACCGCUUACUCUUACCCACACCGCAUGAGAAUAUACAGUUCCUGAAUUUCAGAUGGUGACGAGAGGGCGUACAGGAGUGAGAGGUAUCGGCUAGUUGAGUGGUGCCACAGCAACAAGCUUGCACUCAUCAUCCAUAAGACCAAGCAACUGAUUGUGGACUUCAGAAAGAGUAAGAUGAAGGGACACACAGCAGUCCUCAUAAAGGGAUCAGAAGUGGAGAGAGUGAGCAAUUUCAAAUUCCUGGGUGUCAGUAUCUCUGGAAAUCUAAUCAGAACCCAACAUAUCGAUCCAGCUACAAAAAAGGCACGACAGCGGCUAUAUUUCAUUAGGAGCUUGAGGAGAUUUGGUACGUCACCUAAAACACUCACCAAUUUUUACAAAUGUACCAUGGAGAGUGUUCUAAUGGGCUGCAUCACUGUCUGGUAUGGAGGAGUUGCUACUGUACAGGAUUGAAAUAAGCUGCGGAGAGUUGUAAACUCAGUCAGUUCCAACACGGGCACUAGCUUCCAUACAGUCCUGGACAUCCUCAAGAAGUGACACCUCAAAACAGUGGCGUCCAUCGUUAAGGUCCCUCAUCACCCAGGACAUACCCUCUUCUCAUUGCUACCAUCAGGGAGGAGGUGCAGGAGUCUAAAGGCGCACACUCAAUGAUUCAAAAACAGCUUCUUUCCCACUGCCAUCUGAUUUCUGAAUGGACAUUGACCCCAUCAACACUACCUCACUACUUUUUUUAUUUCUAUUUUUGCACUACUUAUUUAAUGUAACUAUAAUUCUCAGUUUUUCUCUCUAUUAUUAUAUAUUACAUUCUACCUCUGCUGCAAAGACAACACACUUCAUGACGUAUGCUAGUGAUAUUAAACCUGAUUCCGACUGGUUUUCUACAGCCACCAGAGGACCCAUCAAUAGACAACCCCUUAGGAGAACAUCAUACUCAACUCAAAUGAUCAACCUAGCACGACCACUGUUAUAAAAGAAUGAAGUAUUUCCACUCAGCUAACGAAAAGGGAAGCUUGGCUGAGACCCAUGGCUACACCUUUGAUUCAGAGAAAGUGAGAGGAGUCAAAAGAGUAGCUGGCUAAGACAUUGGAGGUCUUGAGCCACACACACACAGUACUGGAGGAACUCAGCGGGUCAGGCAACAUCGUAUUUAAUUAUUUAUUGAGAUACAGCACAGAACAGUCCCUUCGAGCCCUUUGAGACACUCCUCACAGCAACCCCUGACUUAACCCUAGCCGAAUCUUGGAACAAUUUACCAAUUAACCUACCAAAUGGUACACCUUUGGACCAUGGGAGGAAACCGGAGCACCUUGAGGAAACCCACACAGUCACAGGGUGAACGUACGAACUCCAAACAGGCAACAGCAGAAAUUGAACCCGGGUCACUGGUACUAUAAAGCGUUGUGCUAACCAUUGCAACUGUGCCACGCAUAUGGAGGAGACUGAGCAGUCAAUGUUUUGGGUCAAGACUCUUCAUCAGGACUGGAAAGGAAG
This is a long non-coding RNA of Hypanus sabinus (Atlantic stingray), 1609 nucleotides long. RefSeq lists it as uncharacterized. The transcript has 3 exons. The record is from RefSeq and is a predicted model, not a curated record. NCBI's taxonomy places the organism in Eukaryota, Metazoa, Chordata, Chondrichthyes, Myliobatiformes, Dasyatidae.